GAUGAACGCUGGCGGCGUGCCUAAUACAUGCAAGUCGAGCGAACAGACGAGGAGCUUGCUCCUCUGACGUUAGCGGCGGACGGGUGAGUAACACGUGGAUAACCUACCUAUAAGACUGGGAUAACUUCGGGAAACCGGAGCUAAUACCGGAUAAUAUAUUGAACCGCAUGGUUCAAUAGUGAAAGACGGUUUUGCUGUCACUUAUAGAUGGAUCCGCGCCGCAUUAGCUAGUUGGUAAGGUAACGGCUUACCAAGGCAACGAUGCGUAGCCGACCUGAGAGGGUGAUCGGCCACACUGGAACUGAGACACGGUCCAGACUCCUACGGGAGGCAGCAGUAGGGAAUCUUCCGCAAUGGGCGAAAGCUUGACGGAGCAACGCCGCGUGAGUGAUGAAGGUCUUCGGAACGUAAAACUCUGUUAUUAGGGAAGAACAAAUGUGUAAGUAACUAUGCACGUCUUGACGGUACCUAAUCAGAAAGCCACGGCUAACUACGUG
This 497-nucleotide ribosomal RNA is filed under the name uncultured bacterium. Its description in RNAcentral is "partial 16S ribosomal RNA". It matches the Rfam family "Bacterial small subunit ribosomal RNA", at positions 28 to 507 of the family's 1533-position model. The record is from RNAcentral.